Molecule: ribosomal RNA, 814 nt
Filed under: Orius nagaii
Lineage: Eukaryota; Metazoa; Arthropoda; Insecta; Hemiptera; Anthocoridae
Description: bacterial SSU rRNA
Rfam family: Eukaryotic small subunit ribosomal RNA
Source: RNAcentral
AAUAACACCUCAGAUCGCGUCGGUCUCUGUACCGGCGACUUAUCUUUCAAAUGCCUGACUUAUCAACUGACGAUGGUAGACUCCGCGUCUACCAUGGUCGUUACGGGUAACGGGGAAUCAGGGUUCGAUUCCGGAGAGGGAGCCUGAGAAACGGCUACCACAUCCAAGGAAGGCAGCAGGCACGCAAAUUACCCACUCCCGGCACGGGGAGGUAGUGACAAAAAAUAACGAUACGGGACUCUUUUAGAGGCCCCGUAAUCGGAAUGAAUACACUUUAAAACCUUGUUUAAAGGUCAAUCGGAGGGAAAGUCUGGUGCCAGCAGCCGCGGUAACUCCAGCUCCGAUAGCGUAUAUUAAAAUUGUUGCGGUUAAAAAGCUCGUAGUUGGUUCUGCGUACCACGCUGUCGGUACACCGCCUGUCGGUGACACUGGCAUGCCGUGGUAUGUCCUGUCGGUGGCGGCCGUCUAAGCCCCGCGGAAAGCGGCACCGGGUCAUGCCGAGCCGUGUUCAUACCGCGGGGUCCAAGCGCGGUCGCCGACUCCUAUCCUACCGCGGUGCCCUUCAUUGAGUGUCGAGGUAGGCCGACACGUUUACUUUGAACAAAUUAGAGUGCUUAAAGCAGGCUCAAAUUUCUGCCUGAAUAGUGGUGCAUGGAAUAAUGGAACAGGCCCUUGGUCCUAUUCUGUUGGUCUCCGGGACACAAGGUAAUGAUCAAUAUGGACAGUGCGGGGGCAUUCGUAUUGCGGCGUUAGAGGUGAAAUUCUUGGAAAGUCGCAAGACGCACUAGAGCGAAAGCAUUUGCCAAGUAUGUCU